GAUCAUGGCUCAGGAUGAACGCUGGCGGCGUGCUUAACACAUGCAAGUCGAACGGGGUUACGAUGUGUGAGGAAAGAAGCUUGCUUGGACUAAACUUUCGUAACCUAGUGGCGGACGGGUGAGUAACGCGUGGGUAACCUGCCGUAUGCCGGGGGACAACAGUUGGAAACGACUGCUAAUACCGCAUAAGCGCACAGAACCGCAUGGUUCAGUGUGAAAAAACUCCGGUGGCAUACGAUGGACCCGCGUCUGAUUAGCCAGUUGGCGGUGUAACGGACCACCAAAGCGACGAUCAGUAGCCGGCCUGAGAGGGUGAACGGCCACAUUGGGACUGAGACACGGCCCAAACUCCUACGGGAGGCAGCAGUGGGGAAUAUUGGACAAUGGGAGAAACCCUGAUCCAAGCGACGCCGCGUGAGUGAAGAAGUAUUUCGGUAUGUAAAGCUCUAUCAGCAGGAAAGAAAAUGACGGUACCUGACUAAGAAGCCCCGGCUAACUACGUGCCAGCAGCAGC
Molecule: ribosomal RNA, 514 nt
Filed under: uncultured bacterium
Lineage: Bacteria
Description: bacterial SSU rRNA
Rfam family: Bacterial small subunit ribosomal RNA
Source: RNAcentral